This 90-nucleotide ribosomal RNA is filed under the name Escherichia coli. Its description in RNAcentral is "partial 16S ribosomal RNA". It matches the Rfam family "Bacterial small subunit ribosomal RNA", at positions 1 to 90 of the family's 1533-position model. Lineage: Bacteria; Pseudomonadati; Pseudomonadota; Gammaproteobacteria; Enterobacterales; Enterobacteriaceae. RNAcentral also lists the same sequence under 1 other name. The record is from RNAcentral.
UUAAAUUGAAGAGUUUGAUCAUGGCUCAGAUUGAACGCUGGCGGCAGGCCUAACACAUGCAAGUCGAACGGUAACAGGAAACAGCUUGCU